UACGUAGGUGACAAGCGUUGUCCGGAAUUAUUGGGCGUAAAGAGCUCGUAGGCGGUUUGUCACGUCGGAUGUGAAAGCCCGGGGCUUAACUCCGGGUCUGCAUUCGAUACGGGCAGACUAGAGUGUGGUAGGGGAGAUCGGAAUUCCUGGUGUAGCGGUGAAAUGCGCAGAUAUCAGGAGGAACACCGGUGGCGAAGGCGGGUCUCUGGGCCGAUAUUGACGCUGAGGAGCGAAAGCGUGGGGAGCAAACAGG
Molecule: ribosomal RNA, 253 nt
Filed under: uncultured bacterium
Lineage: Bacteria
Description: partial 16S ribosomal RNA
Rfam family: Bacterial small subunit ribosomal RNA
Source: RNAcentral